GAUGAACGCUGGCGGCGUGCUUAACACAUGCAAGUCGAACGGGAUCCAAGGGGUGCUUGCACUUUUUGGUGAGAGUGGCGAACGGGUGAGUAACACGUGAGUAACCUGUCCUUUUCUUUGGGAUAAGCAUUCGAAAGGGUGUUUAAUACCUUAUGUUCUGUCUGCCUCGCAUGGGGUGGGUGGGAAAGGCUUUGGCUGGAUUUGGGUGGGCUCGCGGUCUAUCAGCUUGUUGGUGGGGUGAUGGCUUACCAAGGCUUUGACGGGUAGCCGGCCUGAGAGGGUGGUCGGUCACAUUGGGACUGAGAUACGGCCCAGACUCCUGCGGGAGGCAGCAGUGGGGUAUAUUGCACAAUGGGCGAAAGCCUGAUGCAGCGACGCCGCGUGGGGGAUGAAGGCCUUCGGGUUGUAAACUUCUUUUGCUCUGAACAAGGCAUGCCAGUGGGUGUGUUGAGUGUAGGGGUUGAUUAGCGCCGGCUAACUACGUG
RNAcentral lists this ribosomal RNA (485 nucleotides) under uncultured bacterium. RNAcentral describes it as "partial 16S ribosomal RNA". It matches the Rfam family "Bacterial small subunit ribosomal RNA", at positions 28 to 507 of the family's 1533-position model. The record is from RNAcentral.